AACUGCUGCUAACACCCCAUAAUGCUGAGGAGCUAAAAGUGAAAACUGCCAAGAGAGAGGCUUGCGUCUGAUUAGCUAGUUGGGGAGGUAAAGGCUUCCCAAGGCGACGAUCAGUAGCUGGUCUGAGAGGAUGAUCAGCCACACUGGGACUGAGACACGGCCCAGACUCCUACGGGAGGCAGCAGUGGGGAAUUUUCCACAAUGGGCGAAAGCCUGAUGGAGCAAUACCGCGUGGGUGAAGUCGGUUCGUGGAUUGUAAAGCCCUUUUCUUAAGAAAGAAUAAAUGACGGUACUUAAGGAAUAAGCACCGGCUAACUCUGUGCCAGCAGCCGCGGUAAUACAGGGGGUGCAAGCGUUGUCCGGAAUGAUUGGGCGUAAAGCAUCUGUAGGUGGUUCUUAAAGUCAA
RNAcentral lists this ribosomal RNA (406 nucleotides) under uncultured bacterium. Its description in RNAcentral is "bacterial SSU rRNA". It matches the Rfam family "Bacterial small subunit ribosomal RNA", at positions 155 to 591 of the family's 1533-position model. The record is from RNAcentral.